Molecule: long non-coding RNA, 746 nt
Organism: Bufo bufo (common toad)
Lineage: Eukaryota; Metazoa; Chordata; Amphibia; Anura; Bufonidae
Exons: 3
Source: RefSeq, a predicted model, not a curated record
UUACAUAAGAAGAGGUAAUGUUUGUUUUGUUUCUCAAGUCCCACCCUAAAAAUAAUAAAUUAGGAACCUCGAUCCUCGAGAUUGUAAUCUCACAUUACAUCCUGUCUUCAAGAACUGAACCAUAAGCUCCCUGAUCGGAAUUCUCAGCCUCCUCUCGGCUCUUGCAGCGACAAGUUAUGCUCUUUCGUGUACACAGUGUAUUUCUAAUAAAACGACAUGCUCCGGUACCAGCAUGACCUGUUAUUCAGGACUUCAGUGUGCAUCUACAUACACAGAAACAACUAUUGGUGUCCUCACAGAUUCAGAGCACGCAAGAUGAGAUUUCCCUGAAUGAUUGGAUGCUCCUGGGCUCCCCUCGUGGCCGCACUCCUUCCUACGCGUUGCUGCUGGUUGGUCAGGUUUCCUUUGCUACAUCACUUAGACCCCUUCCCCCUCUCUCUGAAGAGACAUGACAGAUUUUAAAUUGGUUUCUUACAAUGUUAAGGGACUGAGAUCCCCUUCUAAGAGAUCCCAGAUUUUCUCUCUCCUGCACAGAGAGAGAUGCUCAGUGGUCUUUUUGCAGGAGACGCACUUCAAACACGGAAAUUACCCCAACCUUUCCCAUUCUAAAUUUCCUAGCUGGUACCAUUGUGGUGCUGGGGGUGCGGCCUCGAGGUGAGUCAGCAUUGGCUUUUGUAGGGGGCUCCCUUUUCAAUAUAAAUCUCACGUUCAAGACCCAGAGGGUCGAUACAUGAUCCUCAUAGGCC